UAGGGGAGGCGGCAGUGGGGAAUAUUUCACAAUGGGCGAAAGCCUGAUGCAGAAAAGGCCCUUGAGUGUUGAAAGCUUUUGGGUUGUAGAGCUUUGUUUUCUGGGAGGAUAAAGACGGUACCACAGGAGGAAGCCACGGCGAAUUACUUCCCCGCAGCCCGGGUAAUAAGUAGGUGGCAAGCGUUGUCUGGAUUUUUUGGGGGGUAUAAAGGGUGCGGGGGAUACUUAAUUAGUCAGUGAAAAUCCCGAGCUUAACUUGGGAAGGGCAUUUGUUGAUAGUGAUUUAGAGAGGGGAGAGGAAAGUGGAAUUCCUAGGGGUGCGGUGAAGAAGUUAAUAUUUAUGGAGAAAACCAGUGGGGAAGGGGACUUUUUGGUCCAUAAUAAAUGACGGGGCCGCAAAGAAGGGGGGGCAAACCGGAUUAUUUACCCCCGUGGUCCACCCGUAAAAACGAUGAUUAGGUGUGGGGGUAUCAUCCUCCGUGCCGCAGUAAACGCGAUAAGUAUCCGC
This 508-nucleotide ribosomal RNA is filed under the name uncultured soil bacterium. Its description in RNAcentral is "partial 16S ribosomal RNA". It matches the Rfam family "Bacterial small subunit ribosomal RNA", at positions 340 to 872 of the family's 1533-position model. The record is from RNAcentral.